Molecule: small RNA, 29 nt
Filed under: Bombyx mori (domestic silkworm)
Lineage: Eukaryota; Metazoa; Arthropoda; Insecta; Lepidoptera; Bombycidae
Description: ovarian small RNA-26531
Source: RNAcentral
UCCAAGAUACAUAGUUUGCCGAACCACGU